GAUGAACGCUAGCUACAGGCCUAACACAUGCAAGUCGAGGGGCAGCGGGAAGGAAGCUUGCUUUCUCGCCGGCGACCGGCGCACGGGUGCGUAACGCGUAUCGAACCUACCCUUUACUCGGGAACAGCCUUGCGAAAGCAAGAUUAAUGCCCGAUGUUCCGCGUUUGCCGCAUGGCAAAUUCGGCAAAGAUUUAUUGGUAAAGGAUGGCGAUGCGUCCCAUUAGUUAGUUGGCGGGGUAACGGCCCACCAAGGCGACGAUGCGUAGGGGUUCUGAGAGGAAGGUCCCCCACACUGGUACUGAGACACGGACCAGACUCCUACGGGAGGCAGCAGUGAGGAAUAUUGGUCAAUGGGCGCAGGCCUGAACCAGCCAAGUCGCGUGAGGGAAGACGGUCCUACGGAUUAGUAAACCUUCUUUUGUCGGGGAGUAACGUGCGGGACGCGUCCCGUAUUGAGAGUACCCGAAGAAAAAGCAUCGGCUAACUCCGUG
RNAcentral lists this ribosomal RNA (491 nucleotides) under uncultured bacterium. Its description in RNAcentral is "bacterial SSU rRNA". It matches the Rfam family "Bacterial small subunit ribosomal RNA", at positions 28 to 507 of the family's 1533-position model. The record is from RNAcentral.